AAAUGAAACAGCAUUUUUACAAGCACAAACAUAAUCUCACAUAGUAAUAUACAAAAUGUCAGCGGAAUAUGAAGGAGUCAUAGCUGAAGAGGAAGAAGUCUUACAAAAUCCAAUUAAUUAUAUUGUUUUCUUCUUUGAGAAUUACGGAUGGUGAAUAAGUCCAUUAAUCUCGAGGAAUAUGAAAAGAAAAGGGAUAUAAUGAGUAAUGAGUUUGAACAGAAUGUCGAAAAAGAUAGUUUUUUUUACCUUUAAAGUAUUGUACAGUUUGUUAAUAAUUGUUCAUCAUUUUUCCUUGAGAAACUGAUAAAUUGUCAAGUCUAAGAAUUGCCAGGGAAGAAGCACUGAAGAACAAGAACAGUACCUACAAUAUCGACGCUGAACGAUAUGUCCUGAAACAAAAAGAGAAAGAAGCUAAAAAGCGUGAGGAAGGAGGUGGAAGUAAACUAGGAAAAUCAGGUUAUGCACGAUCAAACCUAGAAAGAAAUCUGCAUGCUCAGGAGGUGGCUGCAGUAAAUAACAUAUUAUAUUUAAAUCUGUGAACCAGAGUUUACUAUAAAAAAAUUCCAUAAAUUAAUACAUUCAUAUUUAGCAUAUCAAGGAGACAAUAAUUUAAUAAUUGACAAAUGAUAUGUUUGAAGUGCACUUGUUAGAUUGACUAAUAUUUUGAUUAUUGAACAAUAAAAUACAACAUGAAAUCAAAAUACUAAACUAGUUGUUUGGAAAUCUCCUUCUUCGAUUAACGAUUUGCUUGACAAUUUCUAUUUUGAAGCUUCUUUAAUCAUUUGUAAAUUGUGUAGAAUUUGUUAGCAUUUCAAAUGUUCAUUUCACAGUCCACUA
This is a long non-coding RNA of Dalotia coriaria, 837 nucleotides long. RefSeq lists it as uncharacterized. NCBI's taxonomy places the organism in Eukaryota, Metazoa, Arthropoda, Insecta, Coleoptera, Staphylinidae. The record is from RefSeq and is a predicted model, not a curated record. The transcript is spliced from 3 exons.